RNAcentral lists this ribosomal RNA (253 nucleotides) under uncultured bacterium. Its description in RNAcentral is "partial 16S ribosomal RNA". It matches the Rfam family "Bacterial small subunit ribosomal RNA", at positions 524 to 776 of the family's 1533-position model. The record is from RNAcentral.
UACAGAGGUCUCAAGCGUUGUUCGGAUUCAUUGGGCGUAAAGGGUGCGUAGGCGGCGCGGUAAGUCGGGUGUGAAAUCUCGGAGCUUAACUCCGAAACUGCAUUCGAUACUGCCGUGCUUGAGGACUGGAGAGGAGACUGGAAUUUACGGUGUAGCGGUGAAAUGCGUAGAUAUCGUAAGGAAGACCAGUGGCGAAGGCGGGUCGCUGGACAGUCCCUGACGCUGAGGCACGAAGGUCAGGGGAGCAAACGGG